CAAGCGGUGGAGCAUGUGGUUCAAUUCGACGCAACGCGAAGAACCUUACCCAGGCUGGACAUGCAGGUAGUAGGAGGGUGAGAGCCUAACGAGGUAGCAAUACCAGCCUGCUCAGGUGCUGCAUGGCUGUCGUCAGCUCGUGCCGUGAGGUGUUGGGUUAAGUCCCGCAACGAGCGCAACCCUUGUCUUCAGUUACCAACGGGUCAUGCCGGGAACUCUGGAGAGACUGCUCAGGAGAACGGGGAGGAAGGUGGGGAUGACGUCAAGUCAGCAUGGCCUUUAUGCCUGGGGCUACACACGUGCUACAAUGGCCGGCACAAAGGGCUGCAAACCCGCGAGGGGAAGCCAAUCCCAAAAAACCGGCCUCAGUUCAGAUCGAGGUCUGCAACUCGACCUCGUGAAGGCGGAAUCGCUAGUAAUCCCAGAUCAGCACGCUGGGGUGAAUACGUUCCCGGGCCUUGUACACACC
This 469-nucleotide ribosomal RNA is filed under the name uncultured bacterium. Its description in RNAcentral is "bacterial SSU rRNA". It matches the Rfam family "Bacterial small subunit ribosomal RNA", at positions 926 to 1391 of the family's 1533-position model. The record is from RNAcentral.